Molecule: long non-coding RNA, 573 nt
Filed under: Marmota monax (woodchuck)
Lineage: Eukaryota; Metazoa; Chordata; Mammalia; Rodentia; Sciuridae
Source: RNAcentral
AAAGCAAUUGUUGAAGAUGAGAAACUUCAGUGUAAGAUAAAUGAUAAGGACAAACAGAAGAUUCUUAACAAAUGUAAUGAAGUCAUCAACUGACUGAAUAAGAAUCAAACUGCAGAGAAGGGAAAAAAAAAAAAACUUGCAUGAAGGAAGAAUUUGAAUAUCAGCCAAAAGAGCUGGAGAAAGUCUGCAACCCCAUCUUUACCAAAAUGUACUAGAAUGGAGGAGGCAUGCCCGGAGGAAUGCCUGGGGGAUUCCCUAGUGGGGAGCUCCUACCCCAGGGGUGCUUCCUCUGGGCCCACCAUUGAAGAAGUUGAUUAACCCAGCCCAAGGACAGAUGUAGCAUUGUUCCACAUGGUAAUAUGUGGAAGACCCAAAUUUGUAGCAAAUUCUGUGGCAGUUUUAAAAUUGCUGCUACAGUAAAUUAUUGGACAUUCUCAAUAGUUGAAUAUGGAACAUGUACACAGGAAAAGGAAAUAAUAUUGCACUUUAUAAGCCCUGUAUUAUAAGUGGGAAAUGCAAGUCUUAAAUAAAAAACUGUAUUUAAAUUGGCAUAAAAAAUAAAUAAAUGAUUCU